RNAcentral lists this ribosomal RNA (458 nucleotides) under uncultured Propionivibrio sp. RNAcentral describes it as "bacterial SSU rRNA". It matches the Rfam family "Bacterial small subunit ribosomal RNA", at positions 924 to 1382 of the family's 1533-position model. Lineage: Bacteria; Pseudomonadati; Pseudomonadota; Betaproteobacteria; Rhodocyclales; Rhodocyclaceae. The record is from RNAcentral.
CACAAGCGGUGGAUGAUGUGGAUUAAUUCGAUGCAACGCGAAAACCUUACCUACCUUGACAUGUCCGGAAUCCCGAAGAGAUUUGGGAGUGCUCGCAAGAGAACCGGAACACAGGUGCUGCAUGGCUGUCGUCAGCUCGUGUCGUGAGAUGUUGGGUUAAGUCCCGCAACGAGCGCAACCCUUGUCAUUAGUUGCCAUCAUUUGGUUGGGCACUCUAAUGAGACUGCCGGUGACAAACCGGAGGAAGGUGGGGAUGACGUCAAGUCCUCAUGGCCCUUAUGGGUAGGGCUUCACGCAUGCUACAAUGGCCGGUACAAAGGGCUGCGAUACCGCGAGGUGGAGCGAAUCCCAGAAAGCCGGUCUCAGUUCGGAUUGGGGUCUGCAACUCGACCCCAUGAAGUCGGAGUCGCUAGUAAUCGCAGAUCAGCAACGCUGCGGUGAAUACGUUCCCGGGCCUU